AUACGGAGGGUCCAAGCGUUAUCCGGAAUCAUUGGGUUUAAAGGGUCCGCAGGCGGUCAAUUAAGUCAGAGGUGAAAGCCCAUCGCUCAACGAUGGAACUGCCUUUGAUACUGGUUGACUUGAGUUAUACGGAAGUAGAUAGAAUAAGUAGUGUAGCGGUGAAAUGCAUAGAUAUUACUUAGAAUUCCGAUUGCGAAGGCAGUCUACUACGUAUAUACUGACGCUGAGGGACGAAAGCGUGGGGAGCGAACAGGAUUAGAAACCCUAGUAGUCC
This 274-nucleotide ribosomal RNA is filed under the name uncultured bacterium. RNAcentral describes it as "partial 16S ribosomal RNA". It matches the Rfam family "Bacterial small subunit ribosomal RNA", at positions 523 to 796 of the family's 1533-position model. The record is from RNAcentral.